CAGCAGCCGCGGGAACACCGAGGGUGCAAGCGUUAAUCGGAAUUACUGGGCGUAAAGCGCGCGUAGGUGGUUUGUUAAGUUGGAUGUGAAAGCCCCGGGCUCAACCUGGGAACUGCAUCCAAAACUGGCAAGCUAGAGUACGGUAGAGGGUGGUGGAAUUUCCUGUGUAGCGGUGAAAUGCGUAGAUAUAGGAAGGAACACCAGUGGCGAAGGCGACCACCUGGACUGAUACUGACACUGAGGUGCGAAAGCGUGGGGAGCAAACAGGAUUAGAUACCCCUGUAGUCCCUGUCUCUUAUAC
Molecule: ribosomal RNA, 301 nt
Filed under: uncultured bacterium
Lineage: Bacteria
Description: partial 16S ribosomal RNA
Rfam family: Bacterial small subunit ribosomal RNA
Source: RNAcentral